This 452-nucleotide ribosomal RNA is filed under the name uncultured bacterium. Its description in RNAcentral is "bacterial SSU rRNA". It matches the Rfam family "Bacterial small subunit ribosomal RNA", at positions 19 to 456 of the family's 1533-position model. The record is from RNAcentral.
CUGGCUCAGAACGAACGCUGGCGGCGUGCCUAACACAUGCAAGUCCAACGUGAAAGGGGAGCAAUCCCCCGGUAGGGUGGCAAACGGGUGAGUAAUACAUGGGUGAUCUACCUUAGGGAUGGGGAUAUCCUUCCGAAAGGAGGGGCAAUACCGAAUAUUGUCCGGAGCCGUGAAGGGUUCCGGGGAAAGGGAGGCCUCUGAUACAAGCUUUCGCCUUAAGAUGAGCCCAUGGCCCAUCAGCUAGUUGGUAGGGUAAAGGCCUACCAAGGCUACGACGGGUCGCUGGUCUGAGAGGACGACCAGCCACACUGGCACUGAGAUACGGGCCAGACUCCUACGGGAGGCAGCAGUGAGGAAUAUUGCGCAAUGGGGGAAACCCUGACGCAGCAACGCCGCGUGUGGGAAGAAGGCCUUCGGGUCGUAAACCACUUUUGCACGGGACGAAAAAGGGA